This 73-nucleotide transfer RNA is filed under the name Actinomycetota bacterium. RNAcentral's name for it is "tRNA-Phe". It matches the Rfam family "tRNA". From Rfam's summary of the family: Transfer RNA (tRNA) molecules are approximately 80 nucleotides in length. The record is from RNAcentral. Lineage: Bacteria; Bacillati; Actinomycetota.
GUGACCGUAGCUCAGUCGGUAGAGCGCUCGCCUGAAAGGUGGGGCGUCGCAGGUUCGCCCCCUGCCGGUCACA